RNAcentral lists this ribosomal RNA (440 nucleotides) under uncultured bacterium. RNAcentral's name for it is "partial 16S ribosomal RNA". It matches the Rfam family "Bacterial small subunit ribosomal RNA", at positions 339 to 795 of the family's 1533-position model. The record is from RNAcentral.
CUACGGGAGGCACCAGUAAGGAAUAUUGCACAAUGGGGGAAACCCUGAUGCAGCAACGCCGCGUGGACGAAGAAGGCCUUCGGGUCGUAAAGUCCUUUUCUGAGGGAAGAGGAAGGACGGUACCUCAGGAAUAAGUCUCGGCUAACUACGUGCCAGCAACCGCGGUAAAACGUAGGAGGCGAGCGUUAUCCGGAUUCACUGGGCGUAAAGGGCAAGUAGGCGGUUGUUUAAGUUAGGUGUGACAUCUCUCGGCUUAACUGGGAGGGAGCGCUUAAAACUAGGCAACUAGAGGGCGGAAGAAGGGGGUAGAACUCCAAAUGUAGCGGUGGAAUGCUCAGAUAUUUGGAAGAAUACCAGUGGCGAAGGCGACCCCCCGGUCCGUGCCUGACGCUGAGGGGCGAAAGCUAGGGUAGCGAACGGGAUUAGAUACCCGGGUAGUC